RNAcentral lists this ribosomal RNA (678 nucleotides) under uncultured archaeon. RNAcentral describes it as "bacterial SSU rRNA". It matches the Rfam family "Archaeal small subunit ribosomal RNA", at positions 319 to 1000 of the family's 1478-position model. The record is from RNAcentral.
UCCCUAUGGGGUGCAGCAGUCGCGAAAACUUUGCAAUAAGCGAAAGCUUGACAGGGCUAUCCCGAGUGCCAUCCGCUGAGGAAGGCUUUUACCCAGUCUAGAACGCUGGGGGAAUAAGGAGAGGGCAAGUCUGGUGUCAGCCGCCGCGGUAAUACCAGCUCUCCGAGUGGUGUGGAUGUUUAUUGGGCCUAAAGCAUCCGUAGCUGGCUAGGUCAGUCCCUUGUUAAAUCCACCGAAUUAAUCGUUGGAUUGCGGGGGAUACUGCUUGGCUAGGGGACGAGAGAGGCAGACGGUAUUUUCGGGGUAGGGGUGAAAUCCUAUAAUCCCGGGAAGACCACCAGUGGCGAAGGCUGUCUGCUAGAACGCGCCCGACGGUGAGGGAUGAAAGCUGGGGGAGCGAACCGGAUUAGAUACCCGGGUAGUCCCAGCUGUAAACGAUGCAGACUAGGUGUUUGAACGGCCACGUGCCGUUCUAGUGCCGCAGGGAAGCUGUUAAGUCUGCCGCCUGGGGAGUACGAUCGCAAGAUUGAAACUUAAAGGAAUUGGCGGGGGAGCACCACAAGGGGUGAAGCUUGCGGUUUAAUUGGAGUCAACGCCGGAAAUCUCACCGGGAGCGACAGCAGUAUGAAGGCCAGAUUAAAGGUCUUGCCAGACGAGCUGAGAGGAAGUGCAUGGCCA